This 148-nucleotide non-coding RNA is filed under the name Nomascus leucogenys (northern white-cheeked gibbon). The record is from Rfam by way of RNAcentral. Lineage: Eukaryota; Metazoa; Chordata; Mammalia; Primates; Hylobatidae.
GCCAGGUGUGGUGGUGCACACCUGUAAUCCCAGCUACUUGGGAGGCUGAGGCAGAAGAAUCACUUGAACCCGGGAGGCAGAGGUUGCAGUGAGCAGAGAUCACGCCACUGCACCCCAGCCUGGACAACAAAGUGAAACUCUGUCUCAA